CACUCCUACGGGAGGCAGCAGUGGGGAAUUUUGGACAAUGGGCGAAAGCCUGAUCCAGCAAUGCCGCGUGAGUGAAGAAGGCCUUCGGGUUGUAAAGCUCUUUUGUCAGGGAAGAAACGGUGAGAGCUAAUAUCUCUUGCUAAUGACGGUACCUGAAGAAUAAGCACCGGCUAACUACGUGCCAGCAGCCGCGGUAAUACGUAGGGUGCAAGCGUUAAUCGGAAUUACUGGGCGUAAAGCGUGCGCAGGCGGUUUUGUAAGUCUGAUGUGAAAUCCCCGGGCUCAACCUGGGAAUUGCAUUGGAGACUGCAAGGCUAGAAUCUGGCAGAGGGGGGUAGAAUUCCACGUGUAGCAGUGAAAUGCGUAGAUAUGUGGAGGAACACCGAUGGCGAAGGCAGCCCCCUGGGUCAAGAUUGACGCUCAUGCACGAAAGCGUGGGGAGCAAACAGGAUUAGAUACCCGAGUAGUCCCAUG
This 474-nucleotide ribosomal RNA is filed under the name uncultured organism. Its description in RNAcentral is "partial 16S ribosomal RNA". It matches the Rfam family "Bacterial small subunit ribosomal RNA", at positions 334 to 799 of the family's 1533-position model. The record is from RNAcentral.